This 1243-nucleotide long non-coding RNA is filed under the name Anser cygnoides (Swan goose). Its description in RNAcentral is "lncRNA (ENSACDG00005007894.1)". Lineage: Eukaryota; Metazoa; Chordata; Aves; Anseriformes; Anatidae. The record is from RNAcentral.
AUGAUCAGAGAGGUAGAAUUUGCUGUGGGUGAAAAAUCAUUCCAGCUGCAGGGAAGGAAGUUACAUGGUGUUUUUUUUUUUUUUUCUGGCUGGGUGGGCGGUGGCUUGUUUGUUUGUUUGUUUGUUUUUUCUUUUUUUUCCUGGGGGAGGAUGGAUUUGGAAUGGAAAGUGGUAGGGAAAGAGGGGUUUUCCAAGCGCCUAGAAGAAUUGUUUCAUUUUGUCUGGUACAGAGUGCAUUUUUGAGAGACCAACAUUUUAAACAGAGCUCUGCUUUUCCUUGCAAAGGAAAGCUGAAAUAUAAUAGAAGAGACUGAAAAUUAGAAGUGAUCUCUAAUUCAAGGUACAUAACAAAAAUCACACUUUCCUUGCACAUCUCCACAGAACGCUAUGUGUUACAUUUUAUGACAAUCAGUGCAAAUCAAGUACCGCACACCAUGCUGAGCUUGGAAUCAGCAUUCAACAUGCAAUCCUCGGGACAAAAGUAGGUGGUACUGAUGGGGAUGAAAACUGGUUUGGAUGAAAACUACAAAAAGUAGGAAAAAUAGAUCUCCUAACAACAAAAUCACACCUGGUGUUAAAGCCUAGUCUUUCAUUAAGCAAUGAUUAUUGCCUGCUGUGUAUAAAAAUAGCCAACACAAAUAGCACAGCUUAGCAGUGCUAAUUUAAUAGUUGAAUGUGCUUAUGGGUGUUCAGUGGAGCAGAGCGAAUAAUCCAACAGGAGUAGUAUAUUGAAUGAUUUUAGUCCCUCUUUUCUACUUACAGAAUAACCACAAACAGAUCACAAUUUCCUUGAGUUCAUCUCUUCAAAUAUUUUUUAUUAAUAGUUUUUCCUAGAUACAAUUUACUGAGUUGAUUGAUCAUGAAUAUUCUGAAUUUAAACCAUAAUGCAUAUUUGUGGUUAAUCAGAUAAGUCACAUUUUAUCAUUCUUACAGACUGACUAUGUGAGUAUACAGCAGUUUUCAGGGAGCUCACGGGGCAUAUGUAAAAGAGAGCAAGUGUACAAAAAUACAUGUAAAAAACUAUGAUAUUUCCCAAAAUUAAUUUGCAUUAUUUAUCUUCAGUAUAGGUAAAACAGAAUAUUCACUGCAUGUAUUAACUACAGAACAGACAUGAACUAUAGGUCUUCUUACUUUGCAAUUAAUGAAAUGUAUUUUGCUAUUGCAGGCAUGUACUUAGUGGGUAAUGUGCAUGCUAUUUUUCAUUCACAGGGAAAGGUGAAAUAAGGCACAUGUCCACCGUUUU